Molecule: ribosomal RNA, 253 nt
Filed under: uncultured bacterium
Lineage: Bacteria
Description: partial 16S ribosomal RNA
Rfam family: Bacterial small subunit ribosomal RNA
Source: RNAcentral
GACAGAGGGUGCAAACGUUGCUCGGAAUUACUGGGCGUAAAGCGCGUGUAGGCGGACCACCAAGUCAGGCGUGAAAUCCCUGGGCUCAACCCAGGAACUGCACCUGAAACUGGCGGUCUUGAGUGGUGGAGAGGGAAGCAGAAUUCCAGGUGUAGCGGUGAAAUGCGUAGAUAUCUGGAGGAACACCGGUGGCGAAGGCGGCGUCCUGGACCAACACUGACACUGAGGAGCGAAAGCCAGGGGAGCAAACGGG